Long non-coding RNA from Dalotia coriaria, 818 nucleotides. RefSeq lists it as uncharacterized. The transcript has 5 exons. NCBI's taxonomy places the organism in Eukaryota, Metazoa, Arthropoda, Insecta, Coleoptera, Staphylinidae. The record is from RefSeq and is a predicted model, not a curated record.
UGUUCUAUUUCUUACUUAGUCGAUCGUGUGCUGCGGCGUGGUUUGAACGCGUCUAGUUGAGCGGCGAUUUUCGUGAUGAUUUAUCGCAUUUCUUGUGAUUUUAAGUCGGUAGUUGAAUUAGAUUCUGCCAGCAAAAAAAGAAUUUGAAUUACCAGACAAGUGCGGCGUAUAGUUAUUGAGAUAUCGUGCGUCCGGAAUUGUAAAAUACGCAGGUGGAUGUGGAAGCGGGUCAUCAAUCUGCACUUAUAGGAGUUUACACCUAAGUCUGACAUCGUAGAAGGACCAUUCUUGCAUGAGAUUUGGUAUUGCACCUGGGUCUAGCAUCGUAAAAUGACCAUUCUUGCAUCAGAUUGGCUAAUUUUUGCUGGUUUUAUGGACAUUGCACCUGAGUCUGACAUCGUAGGAUAACCAUUCUUGCAUCAGAUUGUGUUCUGCACCCGAGCCUGAUGUCGUAGGAGAACCAUUCUUGCAUCAGAUUGUAAGUAAUUAAUUUCUUUAUCAUUUUCACACAUAAUUUAUAUGAACAACUUAUGAAUUAGCGAAAAAAAAUUCCUUUUUUGUGUUUCGAAGCACUGAUUUUGCUGGUUUUCGGGAUUUAGCACAUGAACGCGUAAUAUCAGCGAGGUCCCUAAAGAUGUAAAAUUUAAUUCAUCAUUGCGUUAUAUUCUAAUGUCGUAGGAGAUGUACCUGUAGAACGUGUAUUGUUAGAUAAAUUGUACGUUUCGUACGUCGUUAUGUCGAUAACUUGUAUCUGUUUGUUUAUCACGAAGUAUAGGUUUACAUUUAGUCAUUUUGAAUAGUAUAUGGAUUAUAUAUAA